GAAUUCACUAGUGAUUCAGGCCUAACACAUGCAAGUCGAACGAUGACUUUUGUGCUUGCACAAAAUGAUUAGUGGCGAACGGGUGAGUAACACGUGAGUAACCUGCCCUUAACUUCGGGAUAAGCCUGGGAAACCGGGUCUAAUACCGGAUACAACGGACCACCGCAUGGCGGUCCGUGGAAAGCUUUAUGCGGUUUUGGAUGGACUCGCGGCCUAUCAGCUAGUUGGUUGGGGUAAUGGCCCACCAAGGCGACGACGGGUAGCCGGCCUGAGAGGGUGACCGGCCACACUGGGACUGAGACACGGCCCAGACUCCUACGGGAGGCAGCAGUGGGGAAUAUUGCACAAUGAGGGAAAGCCUGAUGCAGCGACGCCGCGUGAGGG
Molecule: ribosomal RNA, 384 nt
Filed under: uncultured bacterium
Lineage: Bacteria
Description: bacterial SSU rRNA
Rfam family: Bacterial small subunit ribosomal RNA
Source: RNAcentral